CCGACCAUAGCAAGAACAAAGGGAGAAAAGAAAGAACAAGAACCCUAAGGUGAAAAUUCAAGAGAAAAUUGGUGGAUUUCAAGUAAUUAAGCAAUCAAAGGUAAAAUUUCUUGAUUUUGACUUGUGAUCUACCUUUUUCAUGCAUUCUUUUGCAUUUUCCAUGGUUGAAUCACAUGAUUUCAUGAUGGGUAUCUUGCUGGCUGAACAUUUAGAGAGAGGUUUUGAUGCUUGAUUUGGUUAGAUUUUAAGAUAUUUUAGUGUUUUUAGUUAGUUAGUGAUGUAUAGCAUGAAAAUCAAGCAAGAAAAGUUCAUGUUCUUCCAUCACCCAUCAAUGGUCGAAUUUUACAAGAGAAACUGUGAGGAUGAUUUUGCCAUAUUUCAAGUUAUUUAAUUUGUGCUUGAUGAUUUGGAGUAUUGGGAGAAAAAUGAAAUUAUUUGGAGUUGAAUUGGACGUAUUGGCCAAUUAAUCAAGUGAUGGAUCGAAUUAGGCUAAUACCGUUUAAUUUAGGUACACAAUUUAAUUUGUGUAGAACACCGUGUUUAGACAAUAAUCCGAACAAUUUGCAUCCCAUUUCAUACAUUAGUAUAAAGCUUGAAUUAGUUUUAUAACAAUUUAGCAUAAUGUAGUAAAUGGCUUAUUGUGCAUUAUGUCUAGGUGGUGAGUAUUUUGGCAAAAGUAAAGAGAUAGUACCAGAUGAUCAAGAAUCGGAGUACUUGGAAUUCGACUCUCAAAAUAGUGAGUAACCUUACUAUCGUCUUAAUUAUCUAAAGUAUGUUUUAUUCGAUUUUGUGAAUUUUAUGGAAAAUGACUUAAAUGAUUAAUUUUUCAGUUUUAUAAACAAAAUGUGAUUUAAUGAAAUGAUUUCAUAAAAUUGUUUUGAAAUUGAAUGAUGGCUUUGAAAAUAGAGUAACUGGAGACCACUUGAUGUGUUGUAAAUUUAUGGUUCUAAUUUAUGGCUUAUGAUAAUGUGUUGGCAUGACUGGCUGAAAUUGUGGUUUGUGAACUGUAUGAAUUGUUCUGUUUUACAUUUACAGGCUGGGUAGUAUAAUAUUAGUCAUGUCAUGCUGUCAAAAUUUUAUUGUAUGGUGGGUUUAGCUUACUGCAGUGGCUAAGUUCUGUGGACCAGCCUAUUAGAAGGGCAUGAAAUUCAGUUAUAUUUUACCUCGGUUGGAGAUGUGAGUAAGGUAACUCCCGAGGUAUAACUUUAGAGUUCACUUCACACCAAACCACCACAUGAGGGUGAACUCAGCCAACGCCAAGGAACGACUAUAUUUUUAAAAUAAAAACAUGAUUUAUGCAUACAUAACUUUUUAACAACCUUGGCGGACUCGGUUGGGAUAGCCCUUGAUCAAGGCAUCCCUGAUAACUGGGUAUGAAAAUGAUUUUGGCAAGAGCCAAAGUUUUAAGAAAUUCAUAAGCCAUGUUAAUUAUUCGAUUUAUGUGAAUUGAUUUUAUUUGAUUGAAACAAGUUGAAAGGUGAUGAAUUACAAUAUGUUGAACUAUUUUAUCUGUCUCCAUUUACUCAGCUUUAGAUAUUUUAGAUGGUAUUUAUUUAAUCACUGGGAUUAUAUAAUCUCACCACCCUCAUUUCCACCCAUUUCAGGCUCAAGAUAGUCUACAGAUAGCUAAUUUCAUCGAAGACCACCAUUGGAUUUGCAUCCUCUAAACUGUAGGUUCACAAUCUUCUUUACUUUUAGUUAUUCGGGGGUCCACUUGUUACUGUAAAUUAAAUUAAAUACUCUGGCUUACUGUAUUACGAUAUAUAUGAAUUUAUUUUGCUUUUACGCUGUAAAAAUUAUUUAU
Molecule: long non-coding RNA, 1804 nt
Filed under: Theobroma cacao (cacao)
Lineage: Eukaryota; Viridiplantae; Streptophyta; Magnoliopsida; Malvales; Malvaceae
Description: long non-coding RNA (TCAC_LNC005352)
Source: RNAcentral